Molecule: long non-coding RNA, 742 nt
Organism: Cynara cardunculus var. scolymus (artichoke)
Lineage: Eukaryota; Viridiplantae; Streptophyta; Magnoliopsida; Asterales; Asteraceae
Exons: 2
Source: RefSeq, a predicted model, not a curated record
UAUCCAGUUAGAGUAUCACGCCCUUGAUUUUUUUUUCCUGAUUUUAUCCCCUUCUUCCUUAUUUCUACCGUCUUCUCCACAACAUCAACUCAUCCAUUCGAGAACCUAAACAUCGUUCUCUGUAUACAAUAAUCAACCUCAUCUAUAUAGUUCUCGCCUCCCACCCAAACGAUUUUCAUCGUCUUUCGCUGCUGCACUUGCAAUUUCAGAUAAAUAUUAUCUUUGUGAUGCCGCAUAUACUUGCACUCAGGGAUUUAUGACUCCAUAUCACAAUACGAGGUAUUGGUUAGCAGAUUUUCGACGUCGACGUGCAUUAAGUAAAGAAGAAAUGUUCAAUCAUGCUCACGUACAACUUAAAAAUGUUAUCGAACGUGCAUACGGUGUCUAGAAAGCAAGAUUUUCAAUCCUGAAGCAAAUGGCUCCGCAUCCUUUUCCAAUACAGAAAAAUAUGGUGAUUGUUUGUUUCGCGAUUCAUAAUUCUAUAAGGAAAUGCAACAUCCAAGAUUAGUUGAUUUUGGAAUACGAUGAGAACACCAUGUUUACCCCUACUAUAGAACAACAUGAAGGAAGCAAUGGAAUAGAAGUCGAUGAAACAAAGUGGAGUUCUCAAAAAAAUGAAUAUAUGACUAAUUUACAUGAUCAGAUUGCUAAUCAGUUAUUGUCAAUGUUUCAAAUUAAGAUUUGUACACAAAAUUUUAAGUUGAAGUUUAAUUUAUUUUCUUGUCUAAAUAUAUUUCAAUUA